UUUUGGACAAUGGGGGCAACCCUGAUCCAGCCAUGCCGCGUGAGUGAAGAAGGCCUUCGGGUUGUAAAGCUCUCUCGGACGGAACGAAAUGGGCGGGACUAAUACUCCUGUCUGAUGACGGUACCGUAAGAAGAAGCACCGGCUAACUACGUGCCAGCAGCCGCGGUAAUACGUAGGGUGCGAGCGUUAAUCGGAAUUACUGGGCGUAAAGCGUGCGCAGGCGGUUUCGUAAGCUGGAGGUGAAAUCCCCGGGCUUAACCUGGGAAUGGCCUUCAGGACUGCGAGGCUAGAGUGCGGCAGAGGGAGGUGGAAUUCCACGUGUAGCAGUGAAAUGCGUGGAGAUGUGGAGGAACACCGAUGGCGAAGGCAGCCUCCUGGGCCAGCACUGACGCUCAUGCACGAAA
This 404-nucleotide ribosomal RNA is filed under the name uncultured bacterium. RNAcentral describes it as "bacterial SSU rRNA". It matches the Rfam family "Bacterial small subunit ribosomal RNA", at positions 362 to 758 of the family's 1533-position model. The record is from RNAcentral.